UCAUGUUAUAGCAUGCAUUUGAAACAAAUGUGCAGGUUGUGUAAGUUUCAACAUCUAAAACUAGGGCGAAAGGGCAAACCAAGAUCUUCACUUGACUAUACUGUGCCAUCUUCUCACAAAGCUUGCCAUCAUAGUGUACAUUUGUUUUGUUCCUGGACUGAACCUACAUACAUUACAUGAUUUUCCUAAUAACUGUCAAAUCUGUCAUGAAGCUUGUCAUCAGCGUACUUUUUUCUCUUUCAUGAAAACAACAUAUUCUGCUAGAAAGGUAAAAUUAAUUAUUACAAAAUGAUUAAAAUUAAUUGAUAACAAAAUAACUGACUCUAUUAUGCAAUCAACUAAAUUCUAUACAAGAACAUGGUUUGUCAAUAUGAUCAUGGUUGGUCAAUUUUCAUGACACUAUUUCCCUCUUUUGUGGUGGCAAAUAUAAUGCAUAUGAUCGUUUGGUAAUACAGUGAGAUGAAUAGAUUGGAUGCACAAUGAUAGAGAUCAAAUAUUAUUGGAGGCAUUGUCUUCCCCCAAAAAUUUGAAGUAUGUGUUUGGAUGGGGGUGUGGGGGUGAAGCAGGAAAUUGUGAGCCAGAUGGAUCAUUGACAGAGGUGAUGAGUUUGGAUUAGAGCGGUGGAGAAAUGACAGAACGAAGGAGGAGUGAGACACCAAUUGGUGUUGAACCAAUAGAAUAGGUAGGCCCCGCUGCAACGCACGGGCAAUUAGCUAGUAAGGAGUAAAGGAGAAAGAUAUUCCAGUCAAUUGUAUUUGUUUUUAUUUUCUUUCAACCCCUCCCGUUGCCACUGACCAGUGGGUCUCUUGGGUCAGUCCAGCAUCGCAGGGACACACCAUGCGUGCCCGCAGACCCCUGCCCCUUCACCUUAUCUCCUACUCCACCCCAAUACUUCCCUCCUCACUUCAUUUCCUUUUCUCUUGGAUCCCCUUUCUCAGUCCAGCUCGCCGGGGACGCUGUUUGUUACAACGCCAGCCACAGGAAUCGGCAGGAUACGUCCGCCCUCGUUCUGGAUCGACGUCAACGCCUCCGGCUCCGACAUGCACGCCCGCUGGCCGUCGCCGUGAACCACCUCGUUUUUCCAGUGUGUUAUUUGCUCGUAGGUAGCUCCCCUAGCUCCAUUGUUGCUCCAACUUACCUUUAAUGGUGAUUCUGGGCGCUGGCGUGCAGGAACCUCUUGGACCGAGGCCCCCUUCCUCUGUUCUGCCGGCCACCGCUGUGAUGUCGUCGCGGUCAUCCUCCUCACCAAACAACGCCAGGGACCAUGACGGGCUACGCGUUGUCCACGUCUCCUCUGGACCACGGAUUCGAAGCCGCAGGUUCCUCCUGCUUCUUCCUCGACGUUGACCGCCAUUGUCGCUGUCCGGAGCUCGUUGCUCCGCUCCAUCGGACCUUGCCACUAACAGCAGGGUGAGAAAUAGCCUUUGCAUGUUGUUUGCUGCUUGAUGUCGUUGGUUGUGUGGCUACUGUCACUGCUUUGCUGCAUGCUGACCUGCCUGUAGAUAAGAAAAACAGAGAUUGAUUUGCUAUGAAAAAAGAUGGCCAUAUCCAGUACUGCUUAAUUUACUUGCUCGUCACACUUUCAGACUAAGGCUGCGACUUCCCUGUGUAAUUUCUUUUCACUCUAACAAUUAUCAGGAAAAUACAGAAAAAUGCUCAACCUGCUGAACUUGUAAAAUCCAUAGCAAAAUCAUUCUAGUUCGGUUUGGAGUAGUACUGUAUGUAUCUGGAUGCUUUAACAUGUAAUUUAGCAAUAGAGACAUAUAAGCCUAGUCAGUAUUAUUACUUAGAACUGAAAGAUGAUGUACUUUCACAAAAUGUCUCUAAAUCUUUAAAAAUUCAUAACUUGCAUUCUAGGACUCCAGGAAAAUUUUAUUGCCAAUUUCAAUAGCUUCAUUUUUGACUUUCUGCAUGACAUCGCAUACAAUUCGUGCAAUGUACACAUUUUGGAAAUUCAUGAAUAUUGAUUUUCCUCCAUUUGGUUCUUUUCUGGGGUUUCUUAAUCAUUUCAAUAGAGUCCGACAAUGAAGGGUAUUACAAGUUCGGCCUGCAGCUUCAUCAACACGUUGACCAGCAAGGCAAGCAUCUGCUUGUUGACCCUAUCUUAUGUUUUAAUUAUGUUGAAGGAUUAUACUAUCUUGGUGUUGUCCUUGUUGGUUACCAUGUCACACCUUUCUUUGCAAUAUCCAUGUUUAGCUUUGUUUUACAUGGCCAGGGCUUCCUUGUUGUUUAUGAUCAGCGGGUCAUGACAUAUAUUAACAUUGCCUUAGCCAUGAACCUAGUGAACAGCUCAACCCAGUCCAUAUGAAUCGCUAUGAAAAAGUAACUCAAAAGGUUAGGU
Molecule: long non-coding RNA, 2341 nt
Filed under: Triticum aestivum (bread wheat)
Lineage: Eukaryota; Viridiplantae; Streptophyta; Magnoliopsida; Poales; Poaceae
Description: long non-coding RNA (TAES_LNC026868)
Source: RNAcentral